UACGUAGGGGGCAAGCGUUAUCCGGAUUUACUGGGUGUAAAGGGAGCGUAGACGGCAUAGCAAGUCUGAAGUGAAAGCCCGUGGCUCAACCGCGGAACUGCUUUGGAAACUGUUAAGCUGGAGUACCGGAGAGGCAAGCGGAAUUCCUAGUGUAGCGGUGAAAUGCGUAGAUAUUAGGAGGAACACCAGUGGCGAAGGCGGCUUGCUGGACAGAGACUGACGUUGAGGCUCGAAAGCGUGGGGAGCAAACAGG
This 253-nucleotide ribosomal RNA is filed under the name uncultured bacterium. Its description in RNAcentral is "partial 16S ribosomal RNA". It matches the Rfam family "Bacterial small subunit ribosomal RNA", at positions 524 to 776 of the family's 1533-position model. The record is from RNAcentral.